This 1183-nucleotide long non-coding RNA is filed under the name Marmota monax (woodchuck). Lineage: Eukaryota; Metazoa; Chordata; Mammalia; Rodentia; Sciuridae. The record is from RNAcentral.
AGAAUUUCAGUUUAGUCUCUAAUUUAAUCUUAUUUACUAACAUAGACGUUAUCAGCAUCACCACGGAGGUGAUCUCAAUUACUUUUGAAAUUCAUUCACCUGCUAGUACAAACAUUUUGCCCUUGUUAUCUCUCAGGUAAGAAUGUGAUCAUACUGACACUGGCAUCCAAAUCCACUUUCCUUUGUAAAUUAGCUUUUUAUUGCUGUGACAAAUACCCGAAAAAAAAAAAAAAAAAAAAAACAACCUAAGGGAGGAUGUUUAUUUUGACUCACUGUUUCGGAAGUUUCAGUUCAUGGUUGACCUUGCUCUGGGCCUGCAGUGAGGUGAGGUAGAACAUCGGGGGAAAGCUGUUCAUCUCAUGGCAGCCAGGAAAGACAGAAAGGGGACAGGCUUCCCAGGGCACAUCCCCAGCUUUAUUUGUUGCUGUGACUCAAGGACCUGAUCAGAACAAUUUUAGAGGAGGAAAAGUUUAUUUGGGGGCUCAUGGUUUCAGAGGUCUCAGUCCACAGAAGGCCGGCUCCAUUCCUCGGAGCUCGAGGUAAAGUGGAACAUCAUGGUGGAAGAGUGUGGCAUAGGGAAGUGGCUUAUAUGGUGGUCAGGAAACAGAGAGAGUCAUCUCCACUUGCCAGACACAAAUAUAUAACCCCACAGCCACCCCUCCCCCCCCCCAGUGAAUUACUUCCUCCAGCCACAUUUCACCUGUCACUAAUUACCACUCAGUAAAUUCCAUCGGGGAUUAAUUCACUGAUUAGUUUAAUGCUAUGGCCCAAUCAUUUCUCCUCCAAACCUUCUUGCCUUGUCUCACACAUAGCUUUUGGGGCCCACCUUGUCUAAACCAUACACCCAGGGACUAACUUCCUCCAACCCUAUCCCACUAUCUACAAUUCCCACCACCUCCCAUGAAUCCAUUCAGCUAUCAAUAGUUAAUCCUCUGAGGAAGUCAGAUUCCUCCUAAUCCAAUCACUUCCCAAAAGCUCUACUUUGGAAUAUAGAUGCAGUGGAGACCAAGCUUUCAACACUUCAUAUCCAAACCAUAAAACUGCUUAUCUCCAAAUUCCUACCCAAAUUCCCAGGCAGAACAUCUGGACAAUUCUCUUCCAAGGGAUCUCUGGACUUUCCAAAGUGAUAAUGACUUAUUUAGAAACACAGUCUUAAUGUCCUUCCCCCCCCGAUUCUUCUGAC